Molecule: ribosomal RNA, 406 nt
Filed under: uncultured bacterium
Lineage: Bacteria
Description: partial 16S ribosomal RNA
Rfam family: Bacterial small subunit ribosomal RNA
Source: RNAcentral
AUUGAACGCUGGCGGCAGGCCUAACACAUGAAAGUCGAACGAGUGGCGGACGGGUGAGUAAUGUCUGGGAAACUGCACGAUGGAGGGGGAUAACUACUGGAAACGGUAGAUAAUACCGCAUACCAUCGGAUGUGCCCAGAUGGGUUUGGCUAGUAGGUGGGGUAAUGGCUCACCUAGGCGACGAUCCCUAGCUGGCCUGAGAGGAUGACCAGCCACACUGGGACUGAGACACGGUCCACACUCCUACGGGAGGCAGCAGUGGGGAAGAUUGCACAAUGGGCGCAAUCCUGAUGCAGCCAUGCCGCGUGUAUUAAGAAGGCCUUCGGGUUGUAAAGUACUUUCAGCGGGGAGGCGUUACCCGCAGAAGAAGCACCGGCUAACUCCGUGCCAGCAGCCGCGGUAAUUC